RNAcentral lists this transfer RNA (72 nucleotides) under Chelonia mydas (Green sea turtle). It matches the Rfam family "tRNA". Rfam says of the family: Transfer RNA (tRNA) molecules are approximately 80 nucleotides in length. Their secondary structure includes four short double-helical elements and three loops (D, anti-codon, and T loops). The record is from Rfam by way of RNAcentral. Lineage: Eukaryota; Metazoa; Chordata; Testudines; Cheloniidae.
GGAAGGAUAGCCCAAUGGUUAGGGUUCUAUCCUGGGAUUCUAGAGACCUGGGUUCCAUUCCUUGCCUUACCA